Molecule: ribosomal RNA, 490 nt
Filed under: uncultured bacterium
Lineage: Bacteria
Description: partial 16S ribosomal RNA
Rfam family: Bacterial small subunit ribosomal RNA
Source: RNAcentral
AGUGAACGCUGGCGGUAGGCCUAACACAUGCAAGUCGAACGGCAGCACAGUAAGAGCUUGCUCUUACGGGUGGCGAGUGGCGGACGGGUGAGGAAUACAUCGGAAUCUACUUUUUCGUGGGGGAUAACGUAGGGAAACUUACGCUAAUACCGCAUACGACCUACGGGUGAAAGCAGGGGAUCUUCGGACCUUGCGCGAUUGAAUGAGCCGAUGUCGGAUUAGCUAGUUGGCGGGGUAAAGGCCCACCAAGGCGACGAUCCGUAGCUGGUCUGAGAGGAUGAUCCGCCACACUGGAACUGAGACACGGUCCAGACUCCUACGAGAGGCAGCAGUGGGGAAUAUUGGACAAUGGGCGCAAGCCUGAUCCAGCCAUACCGCGUGGGUGAAGAAGGCCUUCGGGUUGUAAAGCCCUUUUGUUGGGAAAGAAAAGCAGCAGGUUAAUACCCCGCUGUUCUGACGGUACCCAAAGAAUAAGCACCGGCUAACUUCG